This 86-nucleotide transfer RNA is filed under the name Chloroflexia bacterium. RNAcentral's name for it is "tRNA-Ser". It matches the Rfam family "tRNA". Rfam says of the family: Transfer RNA (tRNA) molecules are approximately 80 nucleotides in length. Their secondary structure includes four short double-helical elements and three loops (D, anti-codon, and T loops). RNAcentral also lists the same sequence under 1 other name. Lineage: Bacteria; Bacillati; Chloroflexota; Chloroflexia. The record is from RNAcentral.
GGAGAGGUGUCCGAGCGGUUUAAGGUGCUGCUCUCGAAAAGCAGUGUGGUUCAUAGCCACCGCGGGUUCGAAUCCCGCCCUCUCCG